This is a long non-coding RNA of Oncorhynchus kisutch (coho salmon), 1912 nucleotides long. RefSeq lists it as uncharacterized. The record is from RefSeq and is a predicted model, not a curated record. The transcript has 2 exons. Lineage: Eukaryota; Metazoa; Chordata; Actinopteri; Salmoniformes; Salmonidae.
UAAGAGGAGGAGGAGAAGGAAGAGGUGAAGUAGGACAGGGGAGAAGGAGAGGACGGGGAAGAGGAAUGGGAGUCAGGAACACAAUAAGUGAUGAAGUCACAGUGACUGUGGUUGACCAUGUUGCCGACUGUGGUUGACCAUGUUGCCAACCAUGGGAUGAGCAUGAUGGAGGCUGGGCAACGAGUUCAACCAAAUCUGAGCCGCUAUACUGUUGCAGGUAUAAUCCAGAUGUUUCAAAGUGAGAACCGAACUGCAAGAAAACCAGUAUCUGAUGGAAGAGGUCGACUGUUCACCCCAGAGCAGGAGACCCACGUUUUAAAUAUGGUAAUUUCAAAUAACUGCAUCAGAGAAGUGCAGGACCACAUAAUGGCAGAUAACACCAUAUUCCUAAACGUCAACAGAGUGAGUCUCUCUGCACUGUCUCGUCUACUGAAACAGAGUGAGUCUCUCUGCACUGUCUCGUCUACUGAAACAGAGUGAGUCUCUCUGCACUGUCUCGUCUACUGAAACGCAAUAGAAUUAGGAUGAAGCAGCUUUACAGAGUCCUUUUCGAGAGAAACUCAGUACGUGUAAAACAACUAAGAUAUGAACAUGUGCAGGUAAGCUGUACUAUCCUAUCAUUGGUACUGGAUCUGGAAGUGUUUGGUGCUACUUCAUAUUGACUGAUCCCUGUCUUUUCCUACUGUGCUACGUUGUUUUGUCUUGUCUCUUUCAGAGAGUAAUGGAGCUAGAAGCAGAUGCAAUGCACCAUGACCUAAUAAAUGUGGACGAGGCAGGUUUCAACCCUGCAAAAUCAAGGGGCCGCGGCAGAAAUAUCCUGACCCCUGAUCGAUGGACACCGUGCCAUCAUUAACGUCCCGGGACGACGUGGUGGCAACAUAACAAUGUGUGCGGCUGUUAGUCAAAACGGCGUCAUUCACCAUCAUGUACAUCUAGGCCCAUACAGCCACUGCACACAUUAUCACAUUUCAGGACACCCUCCACAACAGACUAAUCCCUAAUGACCAGGGACGAGAGCAGCCCAGGUACAUUAUCACAUUUCAGGACACCCUCCACAACAGACUAAUCCCUAAUGACCAGGGGCCAGAGCAGACCAGGUACAUUAUCACAUUUCAGGCCACCCUCCACAACAGACUAAUCCCUAAUGACCAGGGGCCCGAGCAGCCCAGGUACAUUAUCACAUUUCUGGGCACCCUCCACAACAGACUAAUCCCUAAUGACCAGGGGCCCGAGCAGACCAGGUACGUUAUCAUCUGGGACAAUGUUAGUUUCCACCGGGUUGUUGUGGUCUGUUGGAUCACAGGUCACCCACUUCUCAUCUCUACCCCCAUACUCUCCAUUCUUGGGUUCUAUUGAAUAAUUAUUCUCUGUUGGAAGGUGUAUGAUCGCCAGCCCCACCAACGCAUACCCCUUACCCCCUUCUACAGGCAAUGGAGGAGGCUUGUGGAGACAUCGAUCAGGGGUCAUUGCCAGGCCUGGAUACGGCACUCCGGGCGAUACUUUCCACGCUGCCUAGCUCAAGACAACAUCGCAUGUGAAGUGGAUGAAGUCUUAUGGCCAGACCCACAAAGACGAUGAGAUGAAGCCACAUUUUAUUUAUUUUUUUCCUACUGCACUUUUGUUGUUCGAGGAGUGUUUGAACAUUUUGAGAAUAACUUUUCCCCCCUUAUUUGUAUUGAUAGUGUAUUAUGUUCGGAGUACACAUCCAUACUUUACACAUUUGAAUACCUGUGUGUAUGUGAGUUGACUAUCCUUUAUCACUAUACUGUAUUGCAAACUGCUAUGCCCUGCACACAGGACAAACCCACAAGUGUUUUUCAUUUAUACUAUCAGUGCCUAGUUGUUGCUUAUUCAAAUUAUGGUUUGUGUGUACUGUAUUGACUCCAAAAAAAUUAUGUUUUAAGAGUUUGAA